Long non-coding RNA from Acinonyx jubatus (cheetah), 1277 nucleotides. RefSeq lists it as uncharacterized. The record is from RefSeq and is a predicted model, not a curated record. The transcript has 8 exons. Lineage: Eukaryota; Metazoa; Chordata; Mammalia; Carnivora; Felidae.
CCAGAAUCAAAAUAUCGCCCAGCUCCGGGUUCGGUCGUCAGGAAAAGAACUCAGUACACCUGCCCUUACCUCUGAAUAGUCAGCGGGAAACCGUGGACUCGGUGCCCACGCGAACUGCUACCCGCUGUCUACUAGGGCGGCAAAAAGAAUCUACGAGAACUUCUGCCUUCGAACCUCCAGAAAAACUAUCAAGAUUCCAUGAAGCAUCUCUCUAGCUGCCUUUGAAAUAAUAUGUGCUCAGGUGAAACCUCUUUUCUGCUCUCCUCACAUUUCCACCUCAACCCAUAAAGGAAGAGUUAUUCUUCGAAACUUAGUCCCCUGUCCUUCCUUUUUUAGCACCCCCACAGGUCAAAGAGUUUUAUGCUCAACAAACAGUUCAACAUGUCCACUACAUCCCAGGGACUUGCUGUCCAGCAUGAGGAGCAGGCAGUAAACUGUAUUGCAAUGCAUCGUUCAAGAUUUCACUGUUCUAAAUUUAGAGGAACUAGGAAGAAAAAUGAGACUUUUUCACAAAGGAAAUUAAAGAGUUCAUGUAUCCAUCACCACAGUCACAGUCAAAAUACUGAAUAGUUCCAACAUCACCAGAAGCCCUCGUGUUGCCCUGCAUAAUUCCCUGGAGAUUGAUCCAAGUUGUUGUACGUAUCAAUAGUCUACUCAUUGGUUUAGUGGAUUUUGGUACUUGGGCUGUCCAAAGCAUCAGACUCCAGCAGUCUUCAACUGAUGAGAUGCCGUAAAGAGGCAAAGUUGCUAUUUGGCACCUUUGCAAAGAAACUUCCCCAGGAAUCUGGCUGGAUAACUGUUCAGGAUAAUUAAGAAUAACUGUUAAGCAAGAUUUGGAAAACUGAACUUCCACUAUGCUUCAAUUGACAAUAUUAUAUAUUACACCUUAAGCCAAUUUAAAAUGACUAAGAAAGUCAACUUAAAUAUUUUCCCAUCUAGCCUCCUGCCAGCCAAGCAAUCACAAACCAGAAUACGCCAGCCUGACCCAGACCACAGGGACUACCCUGCAGACUCAUGAACAAAAUAGUUAUUGUUUUAAGCCAUUAAGUUUGGGGGUAGUUUAUUAUGGAACAAGAAAUAAAUGAUCCGCCUUCUGAGUCACUUCAGUACUUUAUUCCAAGCAUUCAAUGACCACCCCCACUACCAUUCUAGGUACCUAAUUUUACCUCCUUUUUCAAAUAAGAAAAACAGACAUACUUAACUCCCCACCCUGACCAAACAUCGCACUAUAGCAUAGUGGCCAAGAAUACCAAUCCUAAAGCCAGACUCCCAAUUCU